CCCCCAGUCCAGAUCAACAGUUUGUUGAGGAAAAGCUUGGAAUUCAGUUGAUGCCUAUUCUUGCUGUGAAGAGGAGCAAUCUGAACUGAAGGGGAGAACAGACUCCAAACAAGAGUAGAUGUGAUGACACCAAGAAAGAGCAGCCACAUAUUACCUCGAGAGGUUAACCAGAAUGCAAAUCAACAGAAUAUGAUGCUGACCAAGUACCAGGAAGAGGUGUCCCCAUCACUGUAGAUGACAAGUGAUGACAGUUAUCUUGAUGGACUACAGGAAUGAUUCAAGUGCAUUCAUUGUGCAGUUUACUGAUUUGUAUGAUGUAUUUUGAUAAUUGUUUUGGCAUUCUGAUGUCAGCUGAGUAACACCUCCAUAAUGGAAACAAAUUAAGGAACUUCUGUUUUGAAGCAGUAAAAUAGUCUCAGCAAUAAUUUUUAUUUAUUUUGCCAGCAGAACAGAAGUUUCCAUUAAUUUUCCCACACAAACAUUUUGUGCUUUUCUGUUCCCCAUUUGUGCUUAUUGUCCUGCUGAACAAUUAGACCACCUUUUCAGUGACAUUUUUUUUACACUGCAUGACAAUGUGAUUUAGAAGUAUGAUUUGAUAUAGUUUGAUGGUUUGAUAUUAGUAUAUGUGGCAUGUAGUAAACAAUGGAAUAGUAAAGUUAUGCCAUAUUUCUUGUAUUUCAUGAUACUGGCUGUUAUAUUACUUUUGUGAUAGUUAGUAUUUAAUUAAGGCUUUACAUACUGGCAACUAAGUCUCUGCAUGUCUGCCAUGGAAGGCAUGUAAAACUGUUGCCCUUUGCCAGAAC
Molecule: long non-coding RNA, 803 nt
Filed under: Haliotis rubra (blacklip abalone)
Lineage: Eukaryota; Metazoa; Mollusca; Gastropoda; Lepetellida; Haliotidae
Description: uncharacterized LOC124269241
Source: RNAcentral